UACGGAGGGUGCGAGCGUUGUCCGGAAUCAUUGGGCGUAAAGGGCGCGUAGGUGGCGGCUUAAGCGUGCGGUGAAAGCUCGGGGCUCAACCCCGGAGCCGGCGUGCAACUGAGUCGCUUGAGCACUGUAGAGGCAGGCGGAAUUCCGGGUGUAGCGGUGGAAUGCGUAGAGAUCCGGAAGAACACCGGUGGCGAAGGCGGCCUGCUGGGCAGUAGCUGACACUGAGGCGCGACAGCGUGGGGAGCAAACAGG
Molecule: ribosomal RNA, 252 nt
Filed under: uncultured bacterium
Lineage: Bacteria
Description: partial 16S ribosomal RNA
Rfam family: Bacterial small subunit ribosomal RNA
Source: RNAcentral